GACGAACGCUGGCGGCGUGCCUAAUACAUGCAAGUGGGACGCAAGGAAACACACUGUGCUUGCACACCGUGUUUUCUUGAGUCGCGAACGGGUGAGUAACGCGUAAGUAACCUGCCUAUUAGCGGGGGAUAACUAUUGGAAACGAUAGCUAAUACCGCAUAAUAUUAAUUAUUGCAUGAUAAUUGAUUGAAAGAUGCAAGCGCAUCACUAGUAGAUGGACCUGCGUUGUAUUAGCUAGUUGGUAAGGUAAGAGCUUACCAAGGCGACGAUACAUAGCCGACCUGAGAGGGUGAUCGGCCACACUGGGACUGAGACACGGCCCAGACUUCUACGGGAGGCAGCAGUAGGGAAUCUUCGGCAAUGGACGAAAGUCUGACCGAGCAACGCCGCGUGAGUGAAGAAGGUUUUCGGAUCGUAAAGCUCUGUUGUAAGUCAAGAACGUGUGUGAGAGUGGAAAG
This 458-nucleotide ribosomal RNA is filed under the name Streptococcus mutans. RNAcentral's name for it is "bacterial SSU rRNA". It matches the Rfam family "Bacterial small subunit ribosomal RNA", at positions 28 to 464 of the family's 1533-position model. The record is from RNAcentral. Lineage: Bacteria; Bacillati; Bacillota; Bacilli; Lactobacillales; Streptococcaceae.